Molecule: long non-coding RNA, 478 nt
Filed under: Homo sapiens (human)
Lineage: Eukaryota; Metazoa; Chordata; Mammalia; Primates; Hominidae
Description: HSALNT0268178
Source: RNAcentral
AUGUUGCCCAGGUUGGUCUCAAAGUUCUGAGCUCAAGUGAUCCACCUGUGUCCGCUCCACAACAUGCUGGAACUACAGCGUUUCACGCCCCGAUGCCUGGAAUCUUGCUUGGCACAGAGUGGGAGCUCAAUGAAUACGUACUGAAUGGAUGACCUCACUGGAGUCCUGAGCAGACGGAAAGCGCCACAUCAGGAGGUGGGAGAUGAGGAAACCCGGACAGCAGAGGGGCUCGUGUUCCUCCCAAGGUUGCUCAGCUCUGAAGAUCAAACCUCCCCUUGACCCCAGCUGUGUGCACACCCACAGCCCCAAAGCCCAGGCUUUGCACCAGCUUUUGGCACAGUCGAAAUAGAUAAAUUAUCCCCAAACAGCCUCCUAAGCUCUAGAAAGAGAAGCUAAGCCAGUGUGAAUAAACCUUGUAAUAUUUAUUCUAGCACCUAUGUUAAUUUUGUGUCAUAUCUGUGGUUCUAGAGACUUAUAG